RNAcentral lists this ribosomal RNA (464 nucleotides) under uncultured bacterium. Its description in RNAcentral is "bacterial SSU rRNA". It matches the Rfam family "Bacterial small subunit ribosomal RNA", at positions 394 to 850 of the family's 1533-position model. The record is from RNAcentral.
ACGCCGCGUGAGUGAUGAAGGCUUUCGGGUCGUAAAGCUCUGUCAAGUGGGAAGACCUGCAGUAUGCUAAUAUCAUAUUGCACUGACGGUACCACUGAAGGAAGCACCGGCUAACUCCGUGCCAGCAGCCGCGGUAAUACGGGGGGUGCAAGCGUUAUUCGGAAUCAUUGGGCGUAAAGGGCACGUAGGGCGGCCUGGUAAGUCAGAUGUGAAAGCCCGGGGCUUAACCCCGGAAAGUGCAUUUGAUACUGUCAGGCUUGAGUAUGGGAGAGGGAAGUGGAAUUCCUGGUGUAGAGGUGAAAUUCGUANAUAUCAGGAGGAACACCGGUGGCGAAGCGACUUCCUGGACAAUACUGACGCUGAAGUGCGAAGGCGUGGGUAGCAACAAGGAUUAGAUACCUGNUAGUCCACGCAGUAAACGUUGUUCACUAGGUGUAGCGGGUAUUGACCCCUGCUGUGCCGCA